RNAcentral lists this long non-coding RNA (3733 nucleotides) under Sus scrofa (pig). RNAcentral describes it as "lncRNA (ENSSSCG00000054342.1)". The record is from RNAcentral. Lineage: Eukaryota; Metazoa; Chordata; Mammalia; Artiodactyla; Suidae.
CCACGGCAUAUGGAGGUUCCCAAGCUAGGGAUCGAACUGGAGCUGCAGCCGCUGGCCUAUGCCAGAGCCACAGCAAUGCGGGAUCCGAGCCUCAUCUGCAACCUAUACCACAGCUCACGGCAAUGCUGGAUCCUUAACCCACUGAGCAAGGCCAGGGAUCGAAUCCACAACCUCAUGGUUCCUAGUCGGAUUCGUUAACCACUGCACAACGACGGGAACUCCUGGUUGAAGGAUUUUUUUAAGAAAAAUAAGCUAUCAAUAAUUUCCUCACAAGAGCAUUUCUAUUAAUUAAUAUUGAGAAGUGUUAAUUUCUUAAGUUUAUUAUAAAAUAUUAAUUUAAGUUAGAUUAAGAACCACAGAUGCUUAAAACCUAAUAAUUCAGUUAUUUUCCAAUAAGGCAAAUGGUACUAUGACAGUAAAAAGGGGAGCAUGGGGGAGAUAGAGGUGCCUCUUUCUUAACAAGAAACCAUUGCUUAGUUUAAAGACUGUCAUGGAAAGGAAGAAAUAGGUAAAAGCAUUUAGCAUAGGGCCUGGAACAUGGUGUUUAACAAACGUGAUUCUCCUUCCUUCUUUUCUUCCUUCCACAAAUUCCUAGACAAUCUUCAAGAAGACCCUUAAUCCUAAAAGUUUAUAUCUUCCCCGUGAAUAAUUCACUGAGCCUCUGCUCUUUUAAUAAACCCUAAUAAAUAUCUCUAUGCUUCACAUACCCUUAGGGUGUUCACUUUGUUUCUAUUAGAAUCUAAACAGAUGAAAGGUACAAGGUAUGCAGAGUCAAGAUUCAGCACGCUUUAAGGAUUCUGCCUUGCAGAGGUCUAUUUUUAACUUGUGAGCUCUGAGAACACAUUGUAUAUGGAAAUGAGUACUGCUUGUUCAGCCUUCCUAUGUUUGGACCUUCCCCAGCUCCUUCUAGGACAGUGAAAUUCCCAAAAAUAUAGGUGGAGAUCAGGAUUCUCUGUGGGGCGCACCUAUGAAAUCUCUUCCUGGUCCCACUGAGUUUGGGGCACAAACUGGCAGAUUCAGCAGGUUUCUAACCUCUCACUUUCCUGUUCAUAUACCAAAGAUCAUUGAGUUUCAUUUUCUCGGUCAUUGAUUUAUGCCUUAUUGGAUUUUUUUUUUAAUGUCCAAGAAUGUAUUUAGCCUAUUUAUGUGUAUUUAUUUGUGAUAACAAUGUAUUGUAUAUUUAGAUUAUUUGUACACAUCCUUUUUAUCACAAAGGAUUGGGAUGCCUUUUAACAAAAUAGAUGACAAAUUUGUAAGAUAGGAAACCAGAGCCAAAAGAAAAGGAAAUGUACCAGCCAUAAGGGUCAAUGUAGUUGCUGUGACUGGGCCUCCCAUUUAAUUAUGAACCCCCUGGUAGCCAGAGCCAUAAUUCCUAUCAGAAAGGAAAUAUAUCAGUUUCUAAAAAAGAGACAAAGCUAUAUUUAGUACUAAAUUCUAAAUAAAGUGGUACAUGGGGCUUUACAUAAGAGAUAUGGAGUUAUUUGUGGACCAAAUCCUUAACGUUACGUAAAGCAAAUUAAGAAGUGGGUUUCGGAUGACUAUUUUUGGAAAUAACUCUCAAUAUAAUGCUCAAGGCAAAAGAUUAAAGGACAGCUUAAGAAGUAAAUGUGUAUUAAUUGGUCAAGAGCAAUUCUUUUUUUCCUUUUUUUUUUUUUUUGUCUUUUCUAGGGCCACACCCACGGCAUAUGAAUGUUCCCAGGCUAGGGGUCCAGUCGGAGCCAUAGCCGCCAGCCUACACCAGGGCUGCAGCAGCGCGGGUUCUGAGCCAUGUCUGCAACCUACACCACAGCUCAUGACAAUGCCUGAUCCCCAACCCACUGAGCAAGGUCAGGGAUCGAACCCAAAAUCUCAUGGUUCCUAGUUGGAUUCGUUAACCACUGAGCCAUGACGAGAACUCCAAGAGCAAUUCUAAAAGUGUCUGGAUAUGUAGCUGAUCCAAGGCAAGAAGGAAGAGUGCCUGGGAAAAGGAGAGGCUCUUUCUUUUACAUAGCCUACCCAAACUUCACUUCUCCCAACUCAGCUGCUGAAAGAAGUUAGAAGAGAUUAUACUCUCAGACUAAGCUGAGGAGCCUGGGCUUCUAUACUAAGAAUGAAUCCUUAAGUUUGAAAAAUCAGAUGAACAAGUGCCUAGCUCAGGCUCCAAUCUGAAUUAGAGACUACCCCACGUCUAUAUAGGAUUUGAUUGUGUAUGUAUAUGAAAGCAUUAGAUUAAGAAUCUCCAUAAUAAUCUGACUUUAUUUAGCUACACUAGAAUAUGCUCUAUUAAAACAGAGGUAUAAAAUCUUUUAUAAACUUGGGCUUUCCAUAGACUGUCCCAUCUAAGACCCAUGUAUCGCUUUAGCAGGGGGCUUUCCUGACCCACUUGAGAGUGUAUGUCUCCUAGUCUACUACUCAUUAUACUUCAGUUAUGAUUAGUCACUUAAUGUUUUUCCUCCCCUUCAGGCAGCAAAAUCAUAGGAAAUCUUUUUUUUCAUUAUUGAUAUCCUUUUGUGUCUAGAAUAGUGUCUGAUUUAUUAUUGCUCUUCAAACUCCAUUUGUUAAAUGUUUGAAUACAUAGAUAAUACUGCUAUUUUUCAGUUUUUUCAUAACUUUUUUGUAAAUGAUCAUUCUAUUCAUCAGGAGUGAACUCGUGCGUAUGUUGGACAUAAUAGAUAUGACAGUAUUUAAUCUUUAAAACACUAUAUUAGAGAUGUAUGGUUAUUAUCUCCAUUUUACUGGUGAGGAAACUGGGGCACCAGUAAAGAACUCCCCGGGUUUGUAGUGUUGGUAAGCAGAGGAGCCAGGGUUCACUCUCAGAAGAGUCUGGCUCCAAAUUCCACUGUCUUAACUGCCACAUGAGACCUAUGACUAAAUUAUCUUUUGGGGUUUAAUAUAAAUUUCACCUUCUCACAAAGUAUUCAUCUCACUACAAUCUUACUGACUUUCCUUAUGUGUGACUCAUUGUUUAAAUCUGCUUUUGAUUAAAAAGUUGAGGUUGAAUAUUGUUAGCUCUUUGUAUUUCUUAAAGAAAUUAGCUAGUGUAAAUUUUAAUUGAUGGUGGUAAAGGAAAAAGAAGGACCAAAAUCAGUCCCAACCAACUAACUAAACUAACUAUAGAGUAUUGCCCCUGGGGCUAGAGGAUACAAGAGAAAGGCACAAAUAGUAAAUAUCUCUGUUUUGGGGGUGGUCAUUAACUUAUCCUCCAAGGCGGUGUUCCUCAGAGAGUAAAGGGGGCACUGUUACUAAUAAUAUCAAGACCACGUAUGUAAACCAAAACUAUCCCAGGCAAACUGGGAUAUAGGGUCACCUUACCUAUUUUUCACCUUUCUAGGCUGGUUCUAGUUCUGAAAUGUGGUGGCUGCUCCUGGUUGCCCCAAAUAGUUUUAUUUGGCAUAUCAUGUGGGCCAUGUUCAUUUUUUUUAAACAUUCCAGACAUUGCACAACUAUUUGUACUGCCCACUUCAGUGUGUCCUCUUGGGACGCUACACACCUGUUGCAAUGAUGUUGCAAUUGUUCAAAAUAUGUUUUGUAAUUCUGUUUAACAUCACCUUCUGAACCAUUUAAUAGCUUCUUUAAAAAGUCAAUCUGAACUCAUCUUGUUGAUCUUUUUAUUUCCACUUAGCUUCUUGCAUGCAGAGUCACUCAAUAAAUAUUCACUGAAUUAAAUGAAAUGGAAUUAGAUUCCAAAGCUUAAAAUUACCCUCAGAAAAAAGAAGAUUCAUUACCUCUGAGUCUAUUCAUUAGGCCACAUCUC